CGCGGGGUGGAGCAGCUUGGUAGCUCGCGAGGCUCAUAACCUCGAGGUCACGGGUUCAAAUCCCGUCUCCGCAA
Molecule: transfer RNA, 74 nt
Filed under: Adiantum capillus-veneris
Lineage: Eukaryota; Viridiplantae; Streptophyta; Polypodiopsida; Polypodiales; Pteridaceae
Also listed under: 4 other names
Description: tRNA-Met (CAT) (tRNA-Met-CAT-3 1 to 8)
Rfam family: tRNA
About the family: Transfer RNA (tRNA) molecules are approximately 80 nucleotides in length. Their secondary structure includes four short double-helical elements and three loops (D, anti-codon, and T loops). Further hydrogen bonds mediate the characteristic L-shaped molecular structure. tRNAs have two regions of fundamental functional importance: the anti-codon, which is responsible for specific mRNA codon recognition, and the 3' end, to which the tRNAs corresponding amino acid is attached (by aminoacyl-tRNA synthetases). tRNAs cope with the degeneracy of the genetic code in two manners: having more than one tRNA (with a specific anti-codon) for a particular amino acid; and 'wobble' base-pairing, i.e. permitting non-standard base-pairing at the 3rd anti-codon position.
Source: Rfam by way of RNAcentral